GGAAGGAGGAGGUAACUUGUGGAAUGCUGAGAAAGAUCUAAAGCAUGUAUUCCUUAUUUGAAAAAGAGUAAAGUUGCUCAUAUCCUCAAUAUCAGUCCACCGCUGAACCUAAAUCCAAUUUGGUUCAAACAGCACUGUGCUUAUACCAUUGCUAAGUAUGGUAUGUCUAUGUAUGUACUUGGAAUGGCAGAAGAAUUUAAAGGUGAAAUUGCAGUCAAUGCAUUAUGGCCUAAAACAGCCAUACACACUGCUGCUAUGGAUAUGCUGGGAGGACCUGGUAUCGAAAGCCAGUGUAGAAAAGUUGAUAUCAUUGCAGAUGCAGCAUAUUCCAUUUUCCAAAAGCCAAAAAGUUUUACUGGCAACUUUGUCAUUGAUGAAGGUAUCUUAAAAGAAGAAGGAAUAGAAAAUUUUGACGUGUAUGCAAUUAAACCAGCUGUCUUCCCAAUGAAGGAAAAAAACCCAUACGAACACAACUUAAAAAAAAAGAUGAAUGAAAAAUAGAGGUCAUCCUUUGCAACCAGAUUUCUUCUUAGAUGAAUACCCAGAAGCAGUUAGCAAGAAAAUGGAAUCAACUG
RNAcentral lists this small RNA (575 nucleotides) under Pongo abelii (Sumatran orangutan). RNAcentral describes it as "processed transcript". Lineage: Eukaryota; Metazoa; Chordata; Mammalia; Primates; Hominidae. The record is from RNAcentral.